GCGAUUCAAAGCUUGGGUAGGUGAUCCUGCACUCUCAGCCUGUUGGCGUUUCUCUCCCUCAUUGUUUUGACAAGGAGACAAGCCCUACAUUUGCCUGAUUUCUGAAGUGUGGUGAGGAGCUGGCCAUGGAGCUGCAAACAGAUGGCUGUGGAGAAGUGAGAAGCUGGCGAUGCAAAGCUUGGCUGGGUCUUCGCAGAUACCAAACAAGGAAAGCACACCUGGAAGCCGCAAGAGAAUGCAACAUUUCCAAAUGUGUUUUCAUUCUGUGUUGGAACAAAAUGAAAAUCUUUUGCCAAAAGGAGAGAGAAUGAACAGAAGAGAGAGUUGAAUAAUGUUACAGAAGGCUUGUGCGAAAAACACAACUGGUCAAGAAGAUAUAAACAACAUUUAAUUGGGAAGAGUAUGGUCAUAUAAGAACACAACAUAGCAUGAUUGGGAGCAGGUAGCUGGACUGCAAAAUAUCCACUCAGCUAAAUUGAUACCCUAAGUGGCGAUCUGGAGGAAGCCCACAGGCCCAAUUUUCCUGAUGAAUAUGGGGAAGAACUUUGUCAUUCUGCAGUGGGGAAUUAGACAAGAAGGAUCCAGGAAAGGAUCUGGGCAAAAGUGCUGUAAAACAGAAUUAAGAGGCAUGAGUAGCCUUUGGAAUAGUACUGUUUUUCUUAAAUUUCAAGAGAAAAAUCUUUUUGGUUUUCCUUUAGGAAGAAACUGACUUUUGUUGACAUAUUAUAUAGUCAAACAAAGACCAAAGACCAAACUGUAAAA
Dromaius novaehollandiae (emu) is the source of this 762-nucleotide long non-coding RNA. RefSeq lists it as uncharacterized. The transcript has 3 exons. Lineage: Eukaryota; Metazoa; Chordata; Aves; Casuariiformes; Dromaiidae. The record is from RefSeq and is a predicted model, not a curated record.